This 20291-nucleotide long non-coding RNA is filed under the name Vitis vinifera (wine grape). RNAcentral's name for it is "long non-coding RNA (VVIN_LNC003280)". The record is from RNAcentral. Lineage: Eukaryota; Viridiplantae; Streptophyta; Magnoliopsida; Vitales; Vitaceae.
UACCCAGAAGAGUGGCUCAAGUUCACAUUCAGAAUUUAUUUGUUGAAAGAGUAUCUCCACUUUAUCACAAUCGAGCACUUCCAAUUCUUUCAGAAGUGGCCAGCUUGAACUAAACCUUCUAGAGCAAAAUCUUUUGAGUUGGUGUAAACCGGAGAGUGUGAGAGAGGUAAGGUUAGGGAAUGAGAGUAAAGGUGCUGCUUCAUCUUCAUUUUCAUUGGCAACAAUUGCCUCCACUCCACUCUCCGAUAUAUAAAGGUCCUCAAGUUGCACAAGAGCACUCGCCACAGAAACCGGAAAAAGGUUUAGCAAUUUGUUGCAUCCCCUUACUUGCAAUUUCCUUAAUUUGGAAAAUGAAUUUGCUGGAAGUUGGUCAGGCCACAAUGCUCUUAUAUUAUCUAGUCCGCGUACAGACAAGGACUCCAAACCUGGGAGUGCAACCUGUGCAAUUGAUGAUCCCUUUAGUUAAUAAUAUAUACAUAUACAUUCCUAAUAAUUAGACACAUGUAAAUAGAAAAUAAGAGGUUAAAGGAGAAUAUAUCAGUAUAACAAAGCACAAAAUUUAAACUCUAUUCAAGAAGAUCCAGAAAGAGAAAAGAAAACGCCUUUUGAUUUUGAAGAUCCAAUGAAACUUUAAAAAAAAAAAAAAAAACCUCCAAAUUUUGCUUUCCAAAUGAGGUAAUAGGAGGAUAUUUUUAUUUUAUUUUUUCUUUGCCUCUCUUUCAAAUUUGAUUAACUUCCAUGGAAAACGUAUUUUAACUAGCCAUGGAAAAUGGAUUUUUUUUUUAAAACUUUUAUAUAAGAUACAAGAACUCUUAGAGGGUUACAUUAUGUAAGUAAUACUUUAAAAAAAAUGUUUAAAAAUAUUGUGAUAUCCAAAAAUUUUACUACCUCGGAUUUUAAAUUUUAAAAAAAUUAUUUUUAAAGAAAUAAGGUAAAUCUAUACUUUUUCGUAUAAGAUAUUCUACCUUUAUAUACAAAUUUCUGAUUUUUUUUUUAAAGUGUAUCCAAAUGGACACUAAACUAUCUAGUUUCGAAUUUUUACAACUUUGAAUUGGAUUUUAUGGUAAACUAAUUGACAAUAUAACGCAUGGAUUCAUCUUAGAUUCCAUCUAUAAAUUUUUUAAUUAUCUAAUAUAAGACAUUAUAUUAAUGGGUUGAAUUAAUAAUGUAAUUAUAAUUUAUUUGGCAACUUUCUUCCUUCAAAUAUAUAAGACGAAAAUAUAUUUUAAAAAAUAAAAAAGAAUGAUAAAAAAUAGAAAAUAAAAAUAGCUUAUUUUAUUGUUUUUCUAAGAUGAUUUUGUAGAGUGUUAGUUUAUAGUUUAACUUUAUUUCAUUUUACUUUUAACAUUAUUUAUUGAGGUAUGUUCUUUUUUGAAACUCUUGUUUAGAUUUUAUAGAGAAUAUAAAUUUUAAGAAAAAAAAUGAAAUUUAAAUAAAAUAAGAAUAAAGAAAGGCAAAAGGUGGAUGAAUUUUUUGAAGGCAAAAGUUUGAUAAUUUGGCACUGUCAUGUAAUGGGUGAAAUUUUUAAAUACUCAACAAAGGCUAGUGAAAUUUAAAUUAAAACCUUGACAUGUACCUUUUCGACCAAAAUCUUUGGAGUUGGUGUAAAGUUUUGAGUAUGAGAGAGGUUAGUCUAGGGAAUAUUAUUGCACAUUAGUUCAAAUAAAACAUCAACAUUUUUUUUUGUUAAAUUCUAAAUGAACACCACUAUAAAUUAAUGCGAUUUUGUAUGCUCAAUUAAAUAAACUCGUUCUUAAGGCAUCACAUGAAGUGUUUAAGUCUAAUUAAUAUUAAUUAAAAAUGAUUAUAUCAAAAAAAAUCCAAAGUAAUUUUUUUUUAUCAUAAGUCAAGUAGGAUAGUUUUAUAAAUAAUUGGUUCUAGUUUCUAGUAUUAUUGUACACAAUCGCUAUGUUUGUUGCACCUCCAAAAAAUCUACUACUUGUAAUUAAUUGUAUAUUAUUCUCCAUAUUCACAUCAGUUUAUGUAGUAUGAUUAAUUUAGCAACAAAAUAUAAGUUUACUUGAAAUCGCUUUAAAUUCCUAUGAUAUUAAAGUUUAAGAUUAAAACAAUGUAACAUUAGCCAAAAAGACUAAGAUCUAUAAUGUAACAAAUAAAAUUUAGAAAAUUCAAGGCAGGGUAAACUCGCACCUGUUCUACCCAGAAGAGUGGCUCAAGUUCACAUUCAGAAUUUAUUUGUUGAAAGAGUAUCUCCACUUUAUCACAAUCGAGCACUUCCAAUUCUUUCAGAAGUAGCCAGCUUGAACUAAACCUUCUAGAGCAAAAUCUUUUGAGUUGGUGUAAACCGGAGAGUGUGAGAGAGGUAAGGUUAGGGAAUAAGAGUAAAGGUGCUGCUUCAUCUUCAUUUUCAUUGGCAACAAUUGCCUCCACUCCACUCUCCGAUAUAUAUAGGUCCUCAAGUUGCACAAGAGCACUCGCCACAGAAACCCGAAAAAGGUUUAGCAAUUUGUUGAAUCCCCUUACAUGCAAUUUCCUUAAUUUGGAAAAUGAAUUUGUUGGAAGUUGGUCAGGCCACAAUGCUCUUAUAUUAUCCAGUCCGCAUACAUACAAGGACUCCAAGCCUUGGAGUGCAACCUGUGCAAUUGAUAAUCCCUUUGGUUAAUAAUAUAUACAUAUACAUUCCUAAUGAUUAGACACAUGUAAAUAGAAAAUAAGAGGUUAAAGGAGAAUAUAUCAGUAUAACAAAGCACAAAAUUUAAACUAGAUUAAAGAAGAUCAAGAAAGAGAAAAGAAAAGAAAAAGCCUCCAGAUUUUGAAGAUACAAUGAAACUUAAAAAAAAAAAAAAAAAACCUCCAAAUUUUCCUUUCGAAAUGAGGUAAUAAGAGGAUUUUUUUUUUCUUUUUUCUUUGCCUCUCUUUCAAAUUUGAUUAACUUCUAUGGAAAACGUAUUUUAACUAGUUAUGGAAAACGGAUUUUUUUUUUUAAAAACUUUUAUAUAAGAUACAAGUAAUACUUUAAAAAAAUUGUGAUAUCUAAAAAAUUUUUUGAAAAAUUAUUUUUAAAGAAAUAAGGUAAAUCUAUACUUUUUGUAUAAGAUGUUCUACCUUUGUAUUCAAAUUUCUGAUUUUUUUUUUUUAAAGUGUAUCCAAAUGCACACUAAACUAUCUAGUUUUUAAUUGUUACAACUUUGAAUUGGAUUUUAUGGUAAACUAAUUUACAAGUUAAUGCAUAGAUUCAUCUUAGAUUCCAUCUAUAAAUUUUUUUAAUUAUCUAAUAUAAGACAGUAUAUUAAUGGGUUGAAUUAAUAAUGUAAUUAUAAUUUAUUUGGCAACUUUCUUCCUUCAAAUAUAUAAAAUGAAAAUAAAUUUUAAAAAAUAAAAAAUAAAAAAAAGAUUUUUUUUAUAGUUUUUCUAAGAUGAUUUUGUAGAGUUCUGUUAGUUUAUAGUUUUCACUUUAUUUAUUGAGGUAUGUUCUUUUUUGAAACUCUUGUUUAGAUUUUAUUGAGAAUAUAAAUUUUAAGAAAAAAAAUAAAAUUUAAAUAAAAUAAGAAUAAAGAAAGGCAAAAGCUGGAUGAAUUUUUUUAAGGCAAAAGUUUGAUAAUUUGGCACUCUCAUGUAAUGGGUGAAAUUUUUAAAUACUCAACAAAGGCUAGUGAAAUUUAAAUUAAAACCAUGACAUGUACCUUUUAGACCAAAAUCUUUGGAGUUGGUGUAAUGUUUUGAGUAUGAGAGAGGUUAGUCUAGGGAAUAUUAUUGCACAUUAGUUCAAAUAAAACAUCAACAUUUUUUUUUGUUAAAUUCUAAAUGAACACCACUAUAAAUUAAUGCGAUUUUGUAUGCUCAAUUAAAUAAACUCGUUCUUAAGGCAUCACAUGAAGUGUUUAAGUCUAAUUAAUAUUAAUUAAAAAUGAUUAUAGUAAAAAAAAUCCAAAGUAAUUUUUUUUUAUCAUAAGUCAAGUAGGAUAGUUUUAUAAAUAAUUGGUUCUAGUUUCUAGUAUUAUUGUAGACAAUCGCUAUGUUUGUUGCACCUCCAAAAAAUCUACUACUUGUAAUUAAUUGUAUAUUAUUCUCCAUAUUCACAUCAGUUUAUGUAGUAUGAUUAAUUUAGCAACAAAAUAUAAGUUUACUUGAAAUGGCUUUAAAUUCCUAUGAUAUUAAAGUUUAAGAUUAAAACAAUGUAACAUUAGCAAAAAAGAUUAAGAUCUAUAAUGUAACAAAUAAAAUUUAGAAAAUUCAAGGCAGGGUAAACUCGCACCUGUUCUACCCAGAAGAGUGGCUCAAGUUCACAUUCAGAAUUUAUUUGUUGAAAGAGUAUCUCCACUUUAUCACAAUCGAGCACUUCCAAUUCUUUCAGAAGUAGCCAGCUUGAACUAAACCUUCUAGAGCAAAAUCUUUUGAGUUGGUGUAAACCGGAGAGUGUGAGAGAGGUAAGGUUAGGGAAUAAGAGUAAAGGUGCUGCUUCAUCUUCAUUUUCAUUGGCAACAAUUGCCUCCACUCCACUCUCUGAUAUAUAUAGGUCCUCAAGUUGCACAAGAGCACUCGCCACAGAAACCCGAAAAAGGUUUAGCAAUUUGUUGAAUCCCCUUACAUGCAAUUUCCUUAAUUUGGAAAAUGAAUUUGUUGGAAGUUGGUCAGGCCACAAUGCUCUUAUAUUAUCCAGUCCGCAUACAUACAAGGACUCCAAGCCUGGGAGUGCAACCUGUGCAAUUGAUAAUCCCUUUGGUUAAUAAUAUAUACAUAUACAUUCCUAAUAAUUAGACACAUGUAAAUAGAAAAUAAGAGGUUAAAGGAGAAUAUAUCAGUAUAACAAAGCACAAAAUUUAAACUAGAUUAAAGAAGAUCAAGAAAGAGAAAAGAAAAGAAAAAGCCUCCAGAUUUUGAAGAUACAAUGAAACUUAAAAAAAAAAAAAAAAAACCUCCAAAUUUUCCUUUCGAAAUGAGGUAAUAAGAGGAUUUUUUUUUUAUUUUUUCUUUGCCUCUCUUUCAAAUUUGAUUAACUUCUAUGGAAAACGCAUUUUAACUAGUUAUGGAAAACGGAUUUUUUUUUUUUAAAACUUUUAUAUAAGAUACAAGUAAUACUUUAAAAAAAUUGUGAUAUCUAAAAAAUUUUUUGAAAAAUUAUUUUUAAAGAAAUAAGGUAAAUCUAUACUUUUUGUAUAAGAUGUUCUACCUUUGUAUUCAAAUUUCUGAUUUUUUUUUUUAAAGUGUAUCCAAAUGCACAAUAAACUACCUAGUUUUUAAUUGUUACAACUUUGAAUUGGAUUUUAUGGUAAACUAAUUUACAAGUUAAUGCAUGGAUUCAUCUUAGAUUCCAUCUAUAAAUUUUUUUAAUUAUCUAAUAUAAGACAUUAUAUUAAUGGGUUGAAUUAAUAAUGUAAUUAUAAUUUAUUUGGCAACUUUCUUCCUUCAAAUAUAUAAAAUGAAAAUAAAUUUUAAAAAAUAAAAAAAAUGAAAAAAUAAAAAAUAAAAAAAAGAUUUUUUUUAUAGUUUUUCUAAGAUGAUUUUGUAGAGUACUGUUAGUUUAUAGUUUUCACUUUAUUUAUUGAGGUAUGUUCUUUUUUGAAACUCUUGUUUAGAUUUUAUUGAGAAUAUAAAUUUUAAGAAAAAAAAUGAAAUUUAAAUAAAAUAAGAAUAAAGAAAGGCAAAAGGUGGAUGAAUUUUUUUACGGCAAAAGUUUGAUAAUUUGGCACUAUCAUGUAAUGGGUGAAAUUUUUAAAUACUCAACAAAGGCUAGUGAAAUUUAAAUUAAAACCUUGACAUGUACCUUUUAGACCAAAAUCUUUGGAGUUGGUGUAAAGUUUUGAGUAUGAGAGAGGUUAGUCUAGGGAAUAUUAUUGCACAUUAGUUCAAAUAAAACAUCAACAUUUUUUUUUGUUAAAUUCUAAAUGAACACCACUAUAAAUUAAUGCGAUUUUGUAUGCUCAAUUAAAUAAACUCGUUCUUAAGGCAUCACAUGAAGUAUUUAAGUCUAAUUAAUAUUAAUUAAAAAUGAUUAUAGUAAAAAAAAUCCAAAGUAAUUUUUUUUUAUCAUAAGUCAAGUAGGAUAGUUUUAUAAAUAAUUGGUUCUAGUUUCUAGUAUUAUUGUAGACAAUCGCUAUGUUUGUUGCACCUCCAAAAAAUCUACUACUUGUAAUUAAUUGUAUAUUAUUCUCCAUAUUCACAUCAGUUUAUGUAGUAUGAUUAAUUUAGCAACAAAAUAUAAGUUUACUUGAAAUGGCUUUAAAUUCCUAUGAUAUUAAAGUUUAAGAUUAAAACAAUGUAACAUUAGCCAAAAAGAUUAAGAUCUAUAAUGUAACAUAUAAAAUUUAGAAAAUUCAAGGAAGGGUAAACUCGCACCUGUUCUACCCAGAAGAGUGGCUCAAGUUCACAUUCAGAAUUUAUUUGUUGAAAGAGUAUCUCCACUUUAUCACAAUAGAGCACUUCCAAUUCUUUCAGAAGUGGCCAGCUUGAACUAAACCUUCUAGAGCAAAAUCUUUUGAGUUGGUGUAAACCGGAGAGUGUGAGAGAGGUAAGGUUAGGGAAUAAGAGUAAAGGUGCUGCCUCAUCUUCAUUUUCAUUGGCAACAAUUGCCUCCACUCCACUCUGAAAUAUAUUUAGGUUCUCAAGUUGCACAAGAGCACUCGCCACAGAAACCGGAAAAAGGUUUAGCAAUUUGUUGCAUCCCCUUACUUGCAAUUCCCUUAAUUUGGAAAAUGAAUUUGCUGGAAGUUGGUCAGGCCACAAUGCUCUUAUAUUAUCUAGUCCGCAUACAGAAAAGGACUCCAAGCCUGGGAGUGCAACCUGUGCAAUUGAUGAUCCCUUUAGUUAAUAAUAUAUACAUAUACAUUCCUAAUAAUUAGCACAUGUAAAUAGAAAAUAAGAGGUUAAAGGAGAAUAUAUCAGUAUAACAAAGCACAAAAUUUAAACUAGAUUCAAGAAGAUCAAGAAAGAGAAAAGAAAAGAAAAAGCCUCCAGAUUUUAAAGAUACAAUGAAACUUAAAAAAAAAAAAAAAAAACCUCCAAAUUUUCCUUUCGAAAUGAGGUAAUAAGAGGAUUUUUUUUUUUUUCUUUUUUCUUUGCCUCUCUUUCAAAUUUGAUUAACUUCUAUGGAAAACGUAUUUUAACUAGUUAUGGAAAACGGAUUUUUUUUUUAAACUUUUAUAUAAGAUACAAGUAAUACUUUUAAAAAAUUGUGAUAUCUAAAAAAGUUUUUGAAAAAUUAUUUUUAAAGAAAUAAGGUAAAUCUAUACUUUUUGUAUAAGAUCUUCUACCUUUAUAUACAAAUUUCUGAUUUUUUUUUUUAAAGUGUAUCCAAAUGGACACUAAACUAUCUAGUUUUUAAUUGUUACAACUUUGAAUUGGAUUUUAUGGUAAACUAAUUUACAAGUUAAUGCAUGGAUUCAUCUUAGAUUCCAUCUAUAAAUUUUUUUAAUUAUCUAAUAUAAGACAUUAUAUUAAUGGGUUGAAUUAAUAAUGUAAUUAUAAUUUAUUUGGCAACUUUCUUCCUUCAAAUAUAUAAAAUGAAAAUAAAUUUUAAAAAAUAAAAAAGAAUGAAAAAAAUAAAAAAUAAAAAAAGCUUUUUUUUAUAGUUUUUCUAAGAUGAUUUUGUAGAGUACUGUUAGUUUAUAGUUUUAACUUUAUUUCAUUUUACUUUUAACUUUAUUUAUUGAGGUAUGUUCUUUUUUGAAACUCUUGUUUAGAUUUUAUAGAGAAUAUAAAUUUUAAGAAAAAAAAAGGAAAUUUAAAUAAAAUAAGAAUAAAGAAAGGCAAAAGGUGGAUGAAUUUUUUUAAGGCAAAAGUUUGAUAAUUUGGCACUAUCAUGUAAUGGGUGAAAUUUUUAAAUACUCAACAAAGGCUAGUGAAAUUUAAAUUAAAAGCUUGACAUGUACCUUUUCGACCAAAAUCUUUGGAGUUGGUGUAAAGUUUUGAGUAUGAGAGAGGUUAGUCUAGGGAAUAUUAUUGCACAUUUGUUCAAAUAAAACAUCAACAUUUUUUUUUGUUAAAUUCUAAAUGAACACCACUAUAAAUUAAUGCGAUUUUGUAUGCUCAAUUAAAUAAACUCAUUCUUAAGGCAUCACAUGAAGUGUUUAAGUCUAAUUAAUAUUAAUUAAAAAUGAUUAUAUUAAAAAAAAUCCAAAGUAAUUUAUUUUUAUCAUAAGUCAAGUAGGAUAGUUUUAUAAAUAAUUGGUUCUAGUUUCUAGUAUUAUUGUACACAAUCGCUAUGUUUGUUGCACCUCCAAAAAUCUACUACUUGUAAUUAAUUGUAUAUUAUUCUCCAUAUUCACAUCAGUUUAUGUAGUAUGAUUAAUUUAGCAACAAAAUAUAAGUUUACUUGAAAUCGCUUUAAAUUCCUAUGAUAUUAAAGUUUAAGAUUAAAACAAUUUAACAUUAGCCAAAAAGAUUAAGAUCUAUAAUGUAACAUAUAAAAUUUAGAAAAUUCAAGGAAGGGUAAACUCGCACCUGUUCUACCCAGAAGAGUGGCUCAAGUUCACAUUCAGAAUUUAUUUGUUGAAAGAGUAUCUCCACUUUAUCACAAUCGAGCACUUCCAAUUCUUUCAGAAGUGGCCAACUUGAACUAAACUUUCUAGAGCAAAAUCUUUUGAGUUGGUGUAAACCGGAGAGUGUGAGAGAGGUAAGGUUAGGGAAUAAAAGUAAAAGUGCUGCUUCAUCUUCAUUUUCAUUGUGAACAAUUGCCUCCACUCCACUAUAAAAUAUAUUUAGGUUCUCAAGUUGCACAAGAGCACUCGCCACAGAAACCGGAAAAAGGUUUAGCAAUUUGUUGCAUCCCCUUACUUGCAAUUUCCUUAAUUUGGAAAAUGAAUUUGCUGGAAGUUGGUCAGGCCACAAUGCUCUUAUAUUAUCUAGUCCGCAUACAGACACGGACUCCAAGCCUGGGAGUGCAACCUGUGCAAUUGAUGAUCCCUUUAGUUAAUAAUAUAUACAUAUACAUUCCUAAUAAUUAGACACAUGUAAAUAGAAAAUAAGAGGUUAAAGGAGAAUAUAUCAGUAUAACAAAGCACAAAAUUUAAACUAGAUUGAAGAAGAUCAAGAAAGAGAAAAGAAAAGAAAAAGCCUCCAGAUUUUGAAGAUACAAUGAAACUUAAAAAAAAAAAAAAAAAACCUCCAAAUUUUCCUUUUGAAAUGAGGUAAUAAGAGGAUUUUUCUUUGCCUCUCUUUCAAAUUUGAUUAACUUCUAUGGAAAACGUAUUUUAACUAGUUAUGGAAAACGGAUUUUUUUUUUUUAAACUUUUAUAUAAGAUACAAGUAAUACUUUAAAAAAAUUGUGAUAUCUAAAAAAUUUUUUGAAAAAUUAUUUUUAAAGAAAUAAGGUAAAUCUAUACUUUUUGUAUAAGAUGUUCUACCUUUAUAUACAAAUUUCUGAUUUUUUUUUUUUAAAGUGUAUCCAAAUGGACACUAAACUAUCUAGUUUUUAAUUGUUACAACUUUGAAUUGGAUUUUAUGGUAAACUAAUUUACAAGUUAAUGCAUGGAUUCAUCUUAGAUUCCAUCUAUAAAUUUUUUUAAUUAUCUAAUAUAAGACAUUAUAUUAAUGGGUUGAAUUAAUAAUGUAAUUAUAAUUUAUUUGGCAACUUUCUUCCUUCAAAUAUAUAAAAUGAAAAUAAAUUUUAAAAAAUAAAAAAAUGAAAAAAAUAAAAAAUAAAAAAAGAUUUUUUUUUAUAGGUUUUCUAAGAUGAUUUUGUUGAGUACUGUUAGUUUAUUGUUUUAACUUUAUUUCAUUUUACUUUUAACUUUAUUUAUUGAGGUAUGUUCUUUUUUGAAACUCUUGUUUAGAUUUUAUAGAGAAUAUAAAUUUUAAGAAAACAAAUGAAAUUUAAAUAAAAUAAGAAUAAAGAAAGGCAAAAGGUGGAUGAAUUUUUUUAAGGCAAAAGUUUGAUAAUUUGGCACUAUCAUGUAAUGGGUGAAAUUUUUAAAUACUCAACAAAGGCUAGUGAAAUUUAAAUUAAAAGCUUGACAUGUACCUUUUCGACCAAAAUCUUUGGAGUUGGUGUAAAGUUUUGAGUAUGAGAGAGGUUAGUCUAGGGAAUAUUAUUGCACAUUAGUUCAAAUAAAACAUCAACAUCUUUUUUUGUUAAAUUCUAAAUGAACACCACUAUAAAUUAAUGCGAUUUUGUAUGCUCAAUUAAAUAAACUCGUUCUUAAGGCAUCACAUGAAGUGUUUAAGUCUAAUUAAUAUUAAUUAAAAAUGAUUAUAUUAAAAAAAAUCCAAAGUAAUUUUUUUUUAUCAUAAGUCAAGUAGGAUAGUUUUAUAAAUAAUUGGUUCUAGUUUCUAGUAUUAUUGUACACAAUCCCUAUGUUUGUUGCACCUCCAAAAAAUCUACUACUUGUAAUUAAUUGUAUAUUAUUCUCCAUAUUCACAUCAGUUUAUGUAGUAUGAUUAAUUUAGUAACAAAAUAUAAAUUUACUUGAAAUCGCUUUAAAUUCCUAUGAUAUUAAAGUUUAAGAUUAAAACAAUGUAACAUUAGCCAAAAAGAUUAAGAUCUAUAAUGUAACAUAUAAAAUUUAGAAAAUUCAAGGAAGGGUAAACUCGCACCUGUUCUACCCAGAAGAGUGGCUCAAGUUCACAUUCAUAAUUUAUUUGUUGAAAGAGUAUCUCCACUUUAUCACAAUAGAGCACUUCCAAUUCUUUCAAAAGUGGCCAGCUUGAACUAAACCUUCUAGAGCAAAAUCUUUUGAGUUGGUGUAAACCGGCGAGUUCGAGAGAGGUAAGGUUAGGGAAUAAGAGUAAAGGUGCUGCUUCAUCUUCAUUUUCAUUGUGAACAACUGCCUCCACUCCACUCUGCAAUAGAUUUAGGUCCUCAAGUUGCACAGGAGCACUCGCCACAGAAACCGGAAAAAGGUUUAGCAAUUUUUUGCAUCCCUUUACUUGCAAUUUCCUUAAUUUGGAAAAUGAAUUUGCUAGAAGUUGGUCAGGCCACAAUGCUCUUAUAUUAUCUAUGAUAACCACAACAUUCAAACCACCGAGAUUUCCUUGGCUUCUCACUUAUCUUUUCCACCAGAUAAGUGUUUAUCCACUUUAAGAGAUAACUCUUGACUAUUUUUAAAUUUCUGUUAUUGUGUAUUUCAAAUCUCCUUCUGUAAUUGUAUAUAAAUGAGAAUAGCCACCCGGUUUUUGGCAUUGAAGCCAAUACCAUUUUACAGAUUUCUACAGAGUCUUACAUGGUAUCAGAGCAAUUGGCAUACGCCUAAUUUCAAUCGAUCCUUUCCUUCUCAACUAUGGCCUUCUCUUCUUCCGCUUCCUCCAAUGUUAUCUUUGCUCCUCCAAACAUUGGUCAUCUGGUGUCGAUCAAGCUGAGUGACACAAACUAUCUUAUAUGGUCAUCUCAGAUUGUGCCAGUACUGAAAAGUCAUGACUUGAUGGGCUUCAUGGAUGGUUCUGAGCCGUGUCCAUCAAAAUCUCUUGAUGGUUCUCUUAAUCCAGCAUAUAUUCUCUGGAAUAAGAAAGAUCAGUGUGUGUUAAGUUGGAUCAAUGCCACUUUGUCUGACAAGGUGCUAGCUUCUGUUUAUGGCAUCACAUCUGCUCGAGAGGUGUGGAGUUCUCUGGCAAACAAGUUUGCCUCUCAAUCCAGAACCCGUGUACACCACCUAAAGCGAAAGUUGCAGACUCUUCAUCAAGGGUCAAUGAAGUGCACUGAUUUUCUUGAAAAAGCGAAGUUGGUGUCUGAUGAAUUAGCUGCAGUUGGUAAGCCACUUGAGGAUGAUGACUUAAUGUCUUAUAUUGUGAGUGGACUCAACCCAUCCUUUAAUCCCUUUAUAACCUCUCUGUCCUUUGCCACUAGAGACAAAAAUGUUUCUUUUGAAGACUUUCAAGCCGAGCUCUUGUCAUAUGAACUGUUAUUGGAAAACUAGAAUAUUGCUAUACCACCUGAGACAAAUAAUUUUGCUUUCUUCACUCCCAAAUCUAACCAACAACAGUACAAUCGCAAACCCAAAAACCCAAGUAAACCAUAUUCACGUCCUUCAUUUUCACAAAAUCCUCGUCCUCGAUAUUCACCACAACCCUCUGGUUUACCUUCCUCACCUCAGCCAAAUCAGAAGCAGCACUCAUUUUCCACUCCUAAGUCACCUUGUCAAAUCUGUGGAAAGCUAAGUCAUAAGGCAUUAGAUUGCUUUCAUAGAAUGGAUUAUGCAUAUCAGGGUCGUCAUCCACCAACCCAGUUAGCUGCUAUGGUGGCACAUAGCAAUGCUGAGCAAGAGGAAGAGACAUGGUUUGCUGACAGUGGAGCUAAUCAGCACAUUACUGCCAAUCUGGAGCAUCUUACUCUGCAACAACCAUACACAGGACAAGAAAAUGUAGCUAUUGGUAAUGGCCAAGGUUUAAGUAUUGCACAUACUGGUACUACUAUUUUUCAUACUCCUGAAGCUAAAUUAAACCUCAAACGUGUCCUCCAUUGUCCUCAAGCUUCUGCCAAUUUGCUUUCCAUAAAUCAAUUCUGUCUUGAUAAUAAUUGCCUCUUUAUUCUAACUGGUACUCAUUAUUUUGUCAAGGACAUACAAACGGGGGCGACACUACUGGAAGGCAGGAGUGAAGGGGGUCUCUAUCCAAUCCAGUUGCGGUCAAUGUCUAUCAAUAAAUCACAUGCUUUGUCAGCCGUUGUAGGAAUUAAAGCAUCAGUUUCAGUUUGGCAUUCUAGAUUAGGACAUGCAUCUCUUCCCAUUGUGUCUCAGUUAUUAAAUAAACACUCCUUACCUGUUGAAGGAUCAGUGAAUAAAAUGCAUUUUUGUGAACCUUGCCAACUUGGCAAAGGUAAGCAACUUCCUUUCAAACCUUCUACUCGUGUUUCUUCCUUUCCUUUGCAAUUAAUUCAUACUGAUGUAUGGUCUUGUUCUACCAAAUCUCUCAGUGGAUGUAAGUAUUAUGUUAUAUUCAUUGAUGAUUUUUCACGAUUCUCAUGGCUUUAUCCUCUCCAAAAUAAAUCUGAUGUAUAUGCUUGCUUUGUUAAAUUCAAAACACUAGUUGAAAACCAAUUUUCUUGCAAAAUUAAGCAAUUACAAUCGGAUGGAGGUGGAGAAUACAUGUCCAACCAAUUUCAAUUGUUUCUUUCCUCUAAUGGAAUCCAACAUCGCCGCACUUGUCCUCAUACACCCCAACAAAAUGGGGUUGCUGAGCGUAAACACCGUCAUGUGGUGGAAAUGGGACUGUCUCUGUUAGCUCAGUCACUUUUGCCCACUAAAUUCUGGGUUGAUGCCUUUUUAACAUCCAUUUUUCUCAUCAAUAGACUACCAACAUCUACUCUUGAUAACCAAACACCAUAUCUUAAAUUAUUUGGCAAACAUCCUGAUUAUACCUCCUUGCGCACCUUUGGUUGUGCCUGUUUUCCAUUGUUACGGACCAUAUGCAACUCACAAAUUAAUGUUCAGAUCCAAACGUUGCAUAUUUCUAGGUUAUAGUUCCCAUCAAAAUGGAUAUAGAUGCUUGGAUCCUGUCACUCAAAAAGUUCUAAUCUCACGACAUGUUGUGUUUAAUGAGAAUACAUUUCCUGCUAAGGAUGGAUUGCAGUCUUCUGAACUUCUUCCAGUGGUCUCCUCUCAAGGUACGCCUUUACCUUCUCCUUCAUUUUCUUUAUCUACUUCUCAUUUACAGCAUUCCUCUCCAAUCAUUUCAGAUUCACCUGAUUCUCCUCUAGAAUCUUUACCUAUCCCCACUUCUCCUCAUAUCUCCACUCUACCUUCUCCCAUACCUAGUCCAGCUCCUACCCUUUCUAUACCUGAAUUUUCCUCUUCUUCCAAUCACUCUCAUCACCCCAUGACAACUCGCUCCCAAACAGGCAACCUCAAACCUCGCACAUUUUCAGAUUUUAAACUCUAUUCCACCCACUAUCCUCUCCAAGCAUUAUCCAGUACUGUGACUCCCCUUGCACCAACCUCCUACCGACAAGCUGCUUUAUUACCUGACUGGUGUGUUGCUAUGAGAGAGGAAUAUGAUGCUUUAUUGGCUAAUGAGACAUGGAAGCUAUGUCCUAGACCUGUUGAUCAUAAUGUGGUGGGAAAUAAGUGGGUGUAUAAAGUUAAACAAACAUCCACAGGUGAGGUUGACAGAUUCAAAGCAAGAUUAGUGGCUUUGGGAUUUGCUCAAGAAGAAGGUAUUGACUUUACUGAGACUUUUAGUCCAGUAAUUAAGCCUUCUACUGUACGGGUGCUUCUUACACUUUCUGUUCAAUUUGAUUGGGAAAUCAGACAGCUUGAUGUAUCUAACGCUUUUCUUCAUGGGAUCUUGCUAGAGGAUGUAUAUAUGGAGCAACCUAAGGGGUUUGUUAAUUCAGAUUUUCCAGAUUAUGUUUGCAAACUGAACAAGUCACUUUAUGGCCUCAAACAAGCACCUCGUGCUUGGUUUAUGCGUCUAUCUCAAACUCUACUUGAAUUCGGUUUCCUAUCCUCACCAGUGGAUGCCUCCUUAUUUGUCUAUCAUAAGGGCCAUAUUCAUCUAUUUAUCCUCAUCUAUGUAGAUGAUAUCCUUGUUACAGGUACAGAUCCUUCUCUCAUUCAGUCUCUAAUCCAAAAGCUACAAACCGAGUUCAAGAUGAAAGACCUUGGUCCUUUGGGCUAUUUUCUCGGCAUCCAAGCAAGUCGUGACUCUUCUGGCCUACAUCUUCGACAAUCCAAGUACAUUGGGGAUCUUCUUCAUCGUACCAAGAUGGCUGGGGCCAAACCUGCUUCCUCUCCUUGUACCACAGGUCUUAAAUUAUCCACUCAUGUUGGUGAGCCACUCACAGCUUCUCAAAUUACAGAAUAUCGACAAACUGUGGGAGCUCUUCAAUAUUGCACCUUGACUAGACCUGAUAUAGCAUUUUCUGUCAACCAACUAUGUCAACAUAUGCACUGUCCUAAUUCUGUUCAUUGGACAGCAGCAAAACGUGUCUUACGUUACUUAAAAGGCACCAUUGAUCUGGGAUUAUGGUACACUAAGGGCGAGCAAACUCUUCAAGCCUUUUGUGAUUCAGAUUGGGCUGGUAAUCCCGAUGAUCGAAGAUCAACUACUGGGUAUGGCGUUUUCUUUGGCUCUUGCUUAAUCUCAUGGACUGCCAAGAAACAAUCUGUGGUAGCUCGUUCUAGCACUGAAGCCGAAUAUAGGGCAUUAGCUAUUACUACUGCUGAGCUGUAUUGGAUUCGUAUGCUCCUCAAAGAACUUCAUAUUUCUUUGCCCACAGCUCCUACUAUUUGGUGUGAUAACAGUGGCGCUCUUGCUCUUGCUUCUAAUCCUGUGUUUCAUGCCCGCACCAAACAUAUUGAAGUUGAUUUUCACUUCAUCCGCGAGAAAGUUGCUAAUCGAGAUAUUUCCCUUCAGUUCAUCGGUUCUUAUGAUCAGCCUGCUGAUAUCUUUACAAAGGGACUAAGUUUAGCUCGGUUUUGUUUGCUUCGUGACAAGCUAAUGGUGGUUUCUCUCCCCAUUAGCUUGAGGGGGGAUGAUAACCACAACAUUCAAACCACCGAGAUUUCCUUGGCUUCUCACUUAUCUUAUCCACCAGAUAAGUGUUUAUCCACUUUAAGAGAUAACUCUUGACUAUUUUUAAAUUUCUGUUAUUGUGUAUUUCAAAUCUCCUUCUGUAAUUGUAUAUAAAUGAGAAUAGCCACCCGGUUUUUGGCAUUGAAGCCAAUACCAUUUUACAGAUUUCUACAGAGUCUUACAAUCUAGUCCGCCUACAGAAAAGGACUCCAAGCCUGGGAGUGCAACCUGUGCAAUUGAUGAUCCCUUUAGUUAAUAAUAUAUACAUAUACAUUCCUAAUAAUUAGACACAUGUAAAUAGAAAAUAAGAGGUUAAAGGAGAAUAUAUCAGUAUAACAAAGCACAAAAUUUAAACUAGAUUCAAGAAGAUCAAGAAAGAGAAAAUAAAAGAAAAAGCCUCCAGAUUUUGAAGAUACAAUGAAACUUAAAAAAAAAAAAAAAAAACCUCCAGAUUUUCCUUUCGAAAUGAGGUAAUAAGAGGAUUUUCUUUUUCUUUUUUCUUUGCCUCUUUUUCAAAUUUGAUUAACUUCUAUGGAAAACGUAUUUUAACUAGUUAUGGAAAACGGAUUUUUUUAAAAAAACUUUUAUAUAAGAUACAAGUAAUACUUUAAAAAAGUUGUGAUAUCUAAAAAAUUUUUGUAAAAAUUAUUUUUAAAGAAAUAAGGUAAAUCUAUACUUUUUGUAUAAGAUGUUCUACCUUUAUAUACAAAUUUUUGAUUUUUUUUUUUUAAGUGUAUCCAAAUGGACACUAAACUAUCUAGUUUUUAAUUGUUACAACUUUGAAUUGGAUUUUAUGGUAAACUAAUUUACAAGUUAAUGCAUGGAUUCAUCUUAGAUUCCAUCUAUAAAUUUUUUUAAUUAUCUAAUAUAAGACAUUAUAUUAAUGGGUUGAAUUAAUAAUGAAAUUAUAAUUUAUUUGGCAACUUUCUUCCUUCAAAUAUAUAAAAUGAAAAUAAAUUUUAAAAAAUAAAAAAAAUGAAAAAAAUAAAAAAUAAAAAAAGAUUUUUUUUAUAGUUUUUCUAAGAUGAUUUUGUAGAGUACUGUUAGUUUAUAGUUUUAACUUUAUUUCAUUUUACUUUUAACUUUAUUUAUUGAGGUAUGUUCUUUUUUGAAACUCUUGUUUAGAUUUUAUAGAGAAUAUAAAUUUUAAGAAAAAAAAUGAAAUUUAAAUAAAAUAAGAAUAAAGAAAGGCAAAAGGUGGAUGAAUUUUUUUAAGGCAAAAGUUUGAUAAUUUGGCACUAUCAUGUAAUGGGUGAAAUUUUUAAAUACUCAACAAAGGCUAGUGAAAUUUAAAUUAAAAGCUUGACAUGUACCUUUUCGACCAAAAUCUUUGGAGUUGGUGUAAAGUUUUGAGUAUGAGAGAGGUUAGUCUAGGGAAUAUUAUUGCACAUUAGUUCAAAUAAAACAUCAACAUCUUUUUUUGUUAAAUUCUAAAUGAACACCACUAUAAAUUAAUGCGAUUUUGUAUGCUCAAUUAAAUAAACUCGUUCUUAAGGCAUCACAUGAAGUGUUUAAGUCUAAUUAAUAUUAAUUAAAAAUGAUUAUAUUAAAAAAAAUCAAAAGUAAUUUUUUUUUAUCAUAAGUCAAGUAGGAUAGUUUUAUAAAUAAUUGGUUCUAGUUUCUAGUAUUAUUGUAGACAAUCGCUAUGUUUGUUGCACCUCCAAAAAAUCUACUACUUGUAAUUAAUUGUAUAUUAUUCUCCAUAUUCACAUCAGUUUAUGUAGUAUGAUUAAUUUAGCAACAAAAUAUAAGUUUACUUGAAAUCGCUUUAAAUUCCUAUGAUAUUAAAGUUUAAGAUUAAAACAAUGUAACAUUAGCCAAAAAGAUUAAGAUCUAUAAUGUAACAUAUAAAAUUUAGAAAAUUCAAGGAAGGGUAAACUCGCACCUGUUCUACCCAGAAGAGUGGCUCAAGUUCACAUUCAGAAUUUAUUUCUUGAAAGAGUAUCUCCACUUUAUCACAAUCGAGCACUUUCAAUUCUUUCAGAAGUGGCCAGCUUGAACUAAACCUUUUUGAGCAAAAUCUUUUGAGUUGGUGUAAACCGGAGAGUGUGAGAGAGGUAAGGUUAGGGAAUAAGAGUAAAGGUGCUGCUUCAUCUUCAUUUUCAUUGGCAACAAUUGCCUCCACUCCACUCUUCGAUAUAUAUAGGUCCUCAAGUUGCACAAGGGCACUCGCCACAGAAACCAGAAAAAGGUUUAGCAAUUUGUUGCAUCCCCUUACUUGCAAUUUCCUUAAUUUGGAAAAUGAAUUUGCUGGAAGUUGGUCAGACCACAAUGCUCUUAUAUUAUCUAGUCCGCGUACAGACAAGGACUCCAAGCCUUGGAGUGCAACCUGUGCAAUUGAUGAUCCCUUUAGUUAAUAAUAAAUACAUAUACAUUCCUAAUAAUUAGACACAUGUAAAUAGAAAAUAAGAGGUUAAAGGAGAAUAUAUCAGUAUAACAAAGCACAAAAUUUAAACUAGAUUAAAGAAGAUCAAGAAAGAGAAAAGAAAAGAAAAAGCCUCCAGAUUUUGAAGAUACAAUGAAACUUAAAAAAAAAAAAAAAAAACCUCCAAAUUUUCCUUUCGAAAUGAGGUAAUAAGAGGAUUUUUUUUUUCUUUUUUCUUUGCCUCUCUUUCAAAUUUGAUUAACUUCUAUGGAAAACGUAUUUUAACUAGUUAUGGAAAACGGAUAUUUUUUUUUUAAACUUUUAUAUAAGAUACAAGUAAUACUUUAAAAAAAAUUGUGAUAUCUAAAAAAUUUUUUGAAAAAUUAUUUUUAAAGAAAUAAGGUAAAUCUAUACUUUUUGUAUAAGAUGUUCUACCUUUAUAUACAAAUUUCUGAUUUUUUUUUUUUUAAAUGUAUCCAAAUGGACACUAAACUAUCUAGUUUUUAAUUGUUACAACUUUGAAUUGGAUUUUAUGGUAAACUAAUUUACAAGUUAACGCAUGGAUUCAUCUUAGAUUCCAUCUAUAAAUUUUUUUAAUUAUCUAAUAUAAGACAUUAUAUUAAUGGGUUGAAUUAAUAAUGUAAUUAUAAUUUAUUUGGCAACUUUCUUCCUUCAAAUAUAUAAAAUGAAAAUAAAUUUUAAAAAAUAAAAAAAAUGAAAAAAAUAAAAAAUAAAAAAAGAUUUUUUUUAUAGUUUUACUAAGAUGAUUUUGUAGAGUACUGUUAGUUUAUAGUUUUAACUUUAUUUCAUUUUACUUUUAACUUUAUUUAUUGAGGUAUGUUCUUUUUAAAAACUCUUGUUUAGAUUUUAUAGAGAAUAUAAAUUUUAAGAAAAAAAAUGAAAUUUAAAUAAAAUAAGAAUAAAGAAAGGCAAAAGGUGGAUGAAUUUUUUUAAGGCAAAAGUUUGAUAACUUGGCACUAUCAUGUAAUGGGUGAAAUUUUUAAAUACUCAACAAAGGCUAGUGAAAUUUAAAUUAAAAGCUUUACAUGUACCUUUUCGACCAAAUUCUUUGGAGUUGGUGUAAAGUUUUGAGUAUGAGAGAGGUUAGUCUAGGGAAUAUUAUUGCACAUUAGUUCAAAUAAAACAUCAACAUCUUUUUUUGUUAAAUUCUAAAUGAACACCACUAUAAAUUAAUGCGAUUUUGUAUGCUCAAUUAAAUAAACUCGUUCUUAAGGCAUCACAUGAAGUGUUUAAGUCUAAUUAAUAUUAAUUAAAAAUGAUUAUAUUAAAAAAAAUCAAAAGUAAUUUUUUUUUAUCAUAAGUCAAGUAGGAUAGUUUUAUAAAUAAUUGGUUCUAGUUUCUAGUAUUAUUGUACACAAUCGCUAUGUUUGUUGCACCUCCAAAAAAUCUACUACUUGUAAUUAAUUGUAUAUUAUUCUCCAUAUUCACAUCAGUUUAUGUAGUAUGAUUAAUUUAGCAACAAAAUAUAAGUUUACUUGAAAUCGCUUUAAAUUCCUAUGAUAUUAAAGUUUAAGAUUAAAACAAUGUAACAUUAGCCAAAAAGAUUAAGAUCUAUAAUGUAACAUAUAAAAUUUAGAAAAUUCCAGGAAGGGUAAACUCGCACCUGUUCUACCCAGAAGAGUGGCUCAAGUUCACAUUCANNNNNNNNNNNNNNNNNNNNNNNNNNNNNNNNNNNNNNNNNNNNNNNNNNNNNNNNNNNNNNNNNNNNNNNNNNNNNNNNNNNNNNNNNNNNNNNNNNNNNNNNNNNNNNNNNNNNNNNNNNNNNNNNNNNNNNNNNNNNNNNNNNNNNNNNNNNNNNNNNNNNNNNNNNNNNNNNNNNNNNNNNNNNNNNNNNNNNNNNNNNNNNNNNNNNNNNNNNNNNNNNNNNNNNNNNNNNNNNNNNNNNNNNNNNNNNNNNNNNNNNNNNNNNNNNNNNNNNNNNNNNNNNNNNNNNNNNNNNNNNNNNNNNNNNNNNNNNNNNNNNNNNNNNNNNNNNNNNNNNNNNNNNNNNNNNNNNNNNNNNNNNNNNNNNNNNNNNNNNNNNNNNNNNNNNNNNNNNNNNNNNNNNNNNNNNNNNNNNNNNNNNNNNNNNNNNNNNNNNNNNNNNNNNNNNNNNNNNNNNNNNNNNNNNNNNNNNNNNNNNNNNNNNNNNNNNNNNNNNNNNNNNNNNNNNNNNNNNNNNNNNNNNNNNNNNNNNNNNNNNNNNNNNNNNNNNNNNNNNNNNNNNNNNNNNNNNNNNNNNNNNNNNNNNNNNNNNNNNNNNNNNNNNNNNNNNNNNNNNNNNNNNNNNNNNNNNNNNNNNNNNNNNNNNNNNNNNNNNNNNNNNNNNNNNNNAGAGAGGUAAGGUUAGGGAAUAAGAGUAAAGGUGCUGCUUCAUCUUCAUUUUCAUUGUGAACAAUUGCCUCCACUCCACUCUGCGAUAUAUUUAGGUCCUCAAGUUGCACAAGAGCACUCGCCACAGAAACCGGAAAAUGGUUUAGCAAUUUCUUGCAUCCCAUUACUUGCAAUUUCCUUAAUUUGGAAAAUG